GCGAGGGUGGCCAAGCGGCUAAGGCGAUCGGCUGCAACCCGAUUAUUCGAGGGUUCGAGUCCCUCCCCUCGCU
This 73-nucleotide transfer RNA is filed under the name Candidatus Woesearchaeota archaeon. RNAcentral's name for it is "tRNA-Cys". It matches the Rfam family "tRNA". Rfam says of the family: Transfer RNA (tRNA) molecules are approximately 80 nucleotides in length. Their secondary structure includes four short double-helical elements and three loops (D, anti-codon, and T loops). Further hydrogen bonds mediate the characteristic L-shaped molecular structure. tRNAs have two regions of fundamental functional importance: the anti-codon, which is responsible for specific mRNA codon recognition, and the 3' end, to which the tRNAs corresponding amino acid is attached (by aminoacyl-tRNA synthetases). tRNAs cope with the degeneracy of the genetic code in two manners: having more than one tRNA (with a specific anti-codon) for a particular amino acid; and 'wobble' base-pairing, i.e. permitting non-standard base-pairing at the 3rd anti-codon position. The record is from RNAcentral. Lineage: Archaea; Nanobdellati; Candidatus Woesearchaeota.